Molecule: long non-coding RNA, 769 nt
Filed under: Homo sapiens (human)
Lineage: Eukaryota; Metazoa; Chordata; Mammalia; Primates; Hominidae
Description: HSALNT0313982
Source: RNAcentral
GAAAUAAAGAGUGGUAGUAGAUAUAGUCUGAUGAGGAGCUGCAGAGCAGCUAAAAAUUUUGAAAACAGGAGGGAAGAAAAAUUGUCUAAAAGAAGCCAUGAGGAGCAAGUGCCUCAACUCAACUUCAAGGACCUGUUCUAUGGGAGCCGGGAGAAAAAAGCAGUCACCAGUUAGGAGAGAUAUGACAGUAUCUGGAUCCUCAAGUGACGCAAACUGGGAUGUUGCUAUGCCAGCAGAUGGGGCCAAGGAAUCCAGCCUCACAGAGAAACACAGAACUAUAGAUUGGGAACAAGGCAGAACCUAAGCCAGAACUCCACCAUGAAUUCACUUUUAUUCCCUCUCUCACCAUCACUCCUGUUUUGUCUUUGUAAUUAUUCUGCUAAUACUAUGGAAGUAUAUAAGCCUGUGAAGUGAUUUGAAUACAGGGAAAGGAUCCUUGUAGUUGGAAAUCUGUACACAGAAAAUAAAUGGCCCAAUCUAGAACUCUGUAGUCUCUACUGAAUCUCAUGCUAGAAUCUUGGCAGUGUGUGUCACUAACUGAAGACAUUUGAUUUAUAAAGACACAUGCACACGUAUGUUUAGUGCAGCACUGUUUACAAUAGCAAAGACUUGGAACCAACCCAAAUGCCUAUCAAUGAUAGACUGGAUAAAGAAAACAUGGCACAUAUACACUGUGAAAUACUAUGCAGCCAUAAAAAAGAAUGAGUUCAUGUCCUUUGCAGGGACAUGGAUGAAGCUGGAAACAAUCCUCCUCAGCAAGCUAACACAG